GAGGGUAGAGCUCAGUGGUAGAGUGCAUGCUCAGCAUGCAUGAGGUCCUGGGUUCAAUUCUCAGUACCUCCA
RNAcentral lists this transfer RNA (72 nucleotides) under Camelus bactrianus (Bactrian camel). It matches the Rfam family "tRNA". Rfam says of the family: Transfer RNA (tRNA) molecules are approximately 80 nucleotides in length. RNAcentral also lists the same sequence under 2 other names. Lineage: Eukaryota; Metazoa; Chordata; Mammalia; Artiodactyla; Camelidae. The record is from Rfam by way of RNAcentral.